RNAcentral lists this unclassified non-coding RNA (215 nucleotides) under plant metagenome. RNAcentral describes it as "partial contains small subunit ribosomal RNA, internal transcribed spacer 1, and 5.8S ribosomal RNA". The stretch from base 147 to 215 matches the Rfam family "5.8S ribosomal RNA", at positions 1 to 57 of the family's 154-position model. The record is from RNAcentral.
GUAGGUGAACCUGCGGAGGGAUCAUUACUGAAUGGUCGUCCGACCUUCAAACCCUCAAACCUGUGGAAGCAAACACGUGCUUCGGCGCCCCGGCGUCGCUUUUAUGCCGUAAUGAGUUUUGUGUCUGAAAUAAUGCAAAGAAUUAAAACUUUCAACAAAGGAUCUCUUGGCUCUCGCAUCGAUGAAGAACGCAGCAUCUGACUGACUAAGAUUCG